CAGCAGCCACGGUAAAACGGAGGGUGCAAGCGUUAUCCGGAUUUAUUGGGUUUAAAGGGUCCGUAGGCGGAUCUGUAAGUCAGUGGUGAAAUCUCACAGCUUAACUGUGAAACUGCCAUUGAUACUGCAGGUCUUGAGUAAAUUUUAAGUGGCUGGAAUAAGUAGUGUAGCGGUGAAAUGCAUAGAUAUUACUUAGAACACCAAUUGCGAAGGCAGGUCACUAAUAUUUAACUGACGCUGAUGGACGAAAGCGUGGGGAGCGAACAGGAUUAGAUACCCCCGUAGUCCCUGUCUCUUAUAC
RNAcentral lists this ribosomal RNA (301 nucleotides) under uncultured bacterium. RNAcentral's name for it is "partial 16S ribosomal RNA". It matches the Rfam family "Bacterial small subunit ribosomal RNA", at positions 509 to 807 of the family's 1533-position model. The record is from RNAcentral.